CCCGCUGAGUUUAAGCAUAUCAAUAAGCGGARGAAAAGGAACUAACAAGGAUUCCCCUAGUAACGGCGAGCGAA
RNAcentral lists this ribosomal RNA (74 nucleotides) under Guiera senegalensis. RNAcentral describes it as "partial 28S ribosomal RNA". It matches the Rfam family "Eukaryotic large subunit ribosomal RNA", at positions 24 to 97 of the family's 3401-position model. Lineage: Eukaryota; Viridiplantae; Streptophyta; Magnoliopsida; Myrtales; Combretaceae. The record is from RNAcentral.